RNAcentral lists this long non-coding RNA (215 nucleotides) under Musa acuminata (dwarf banana). Its description in RNAcentral is "long non-coding RNA (MACU_LNC009938)". The record is from RNAcentral. Lineage: Eukaryota; Viridiplantae; Streptophyta; Magnoliopsida; Zingiberales; Musaceae.
CGACGCUUCGUCCGAUUCUUCGGCGCAUCGUCCUCUCCUGCAGCCUAUUGCCCAAUCGGCCAGUUGACUCCGCAACUCCGAUAUCCUUGGCACAAUACCCGCUCUUCUUGGCCCGAUGCCUGAGUCCACGGCCCGAAGCCUUCUGUCGAUACGUCGACCGAUCCACCGGCCCGACGUCCAAUCUUCUGACAUGUUCCUCCGGCAUAACAUGAUUU